CCGCGUCCCUCGGAACAUAAUCCCUGCAACAAAAUCAUCUUCUCUCUUCUCGCCAGCCUCCACCAGCGACACCGCCGAGAUGGGCGGCGCCGACUGCAACAGCACGGAUUUCGGCGCCGCCGCCUACUGGGACGCCCGCUACUCCUCCCCCUCCACCGGCGGCAAGGGCCGCGGCGGCUUCUUCGACUGGUACCAGGCCUACCCGGCUCUCCGGCCAAUACUCCGCGCCUGCGUUCCCACCUCCUCCCGCGUCCUCAUGCUCGGCUGCGGCAACUCCCUUCUGUCGGAGGAUAUGGCAAAGGAUGGUUACGAGGACAUAGUAAACAUGGACAUCUCCUCCGUUGUUAUCGAGCAGAUGAAGGAGAAACACAUGGAUAUUCCACAGCUUACAUAUAUGCAGAUGGAUGUCAGGGAUAUGAGUCUCUUUGCAGAUGGAUCGUUUGAUUGCGUCAUUGACAAAGGGACCUUGGAUGCUAUGAUGUGUGGCGAUGAUGCCCCUCACGGUGCUUCAAGAAUGCUAGCAGAAGUGGCAAGGAUUACGAGACCUGGUGGAAUUUAUAUGUUGAUAACAUAUGGUGCUCCUAAGGAACGUCUCACAAUUUUGAAUCAAGCCCGAUGCCGUUGGAAUGUUGAGCUAUACAUUAUGCGUAAGUUUGAAAUACCCUCUCUUCACUCUGAAGGGGCACCCGACCCAAGUAUACUGUUUCUACCUUGUUAGCUAUCACUCUGUUAUAACAUGUUUAUGUGCAUGAGAUAUUUGCUUCAUCCUUUGGGAACUACGGAUUCAAAUCCGUGAAAGAUUGCUUCCAUUACUUCCCAAUUCUCAUGAGAUGCCCAAAACUACAAUAGAAAUCUGAAUAAUGAUUGCUAAAGACUGAUUGUAACCCACAUCAUUACUGGAAAAUCUGGGGAGAAGAUAAAUUAGCGCCAUUUAUGUCGGGAAUACAUAUUAUAUGGCCCGCUCUGUUUGCAAUUUUUUUUUUGGAUCUAACAUCUAGGUUUUCAUAUUGUUGUACUUGUGAUUUGGGAACACAUGCCAGUAAUUAGUUGUGCCUCUUUCAAUGGCCAAAGACCAAAAUACUGUUGGUUGAUGGUAAGCCAGUGCCUCAGUAGCGACUGUGUUUGAUAUAAUGACGGUGGCAAUUGCGACUUAAAAAGCCUGCCUGGGCUUUGCUUUGCGCCAUCGACCACCCUGCGUCAUUAUACAAUGGUAUUUUGGUCAUUUUUCUACCCUAUUGAAUGACAUUGGACACUGGUGGCAUAUGCAACACAACAUGCAGACUAAACUUGGCAGCCACACCUGAAUACCAGUUGAAACGGAGCAAUGGCGCUUCACACGCUUCCAUGGAGAAAGUUAAACUGACAGUGGAUGGCCAACUGCCGCCUGACUAUGUUUUUAAGGAUCCAGAGUCAAAUUUCGUUUAUGUUAGUUACAAGUCAGAUACAGCGAGUGAAAAUAAUUCCAUAGUUGGUGGUCAAGGGGAAACCACGACUUCA
This is an RNA transcript of Lolium rigidum, 1497 nucleotides long. It is a transcript of the gene named EEF1A lysine methyltransferase 4-like, with no coding region annotated. The record is from RefSeq and is a predicted model, not a curated record. Lineage: Eukaryota; Viridiplantae; Streptophyta; Magnoliopsida; Poales; Poaceae. The transcript has 8 exons.